CACGGGGGUUGCAAGCGUUGUCCGGAAUUACUAGGCGUAAAGGGCAGGUAGGCGGAUCUAUAAGUUUAAUGUUAAAGGCGACGGCUUACCCGUCGUAAGGCGUUAGAUACUGUAGAUCUGGAAUACGGUUGGGGAAGACAGAAUUCCUGGUGUAGCGGUGGAAUGCGCAGAUAUCAGGAGGAAUACCGAAGGCGAAGGCAGUCUUCUAAGCCGUUAUUGACGCUAAACUGCGAAGGUGUGGGUAUCAAACAGG
Molecule: ribosomal RNA, 253 nt
Filed under: uncultured bacterium
Lineage: Bacteria
Description: partial 16S ribosomal RNA
Rfam family: Bacterial small subunit ribosomal RNA
Source: RNAcentral